Molecule: long non-coding RNA, 683 nt
Organism: Capsicum annuum
Lineage: Eukaryota; Viridiplantae; Streptophyta; Magnoliopsida; Solanales; Solanaceae
Exons: 3
Source: RefSeq, a predicted model, not a curated record
UAUAAGUAGCUAGAGAGAAGUUAGAGAAAAAUUCAAGAGCGAGAAAGUUCUUAGUUUUCAUAAAGUUUUUAGUUUUCAAAAUUUGUAAGUUAGUUCAAAAAAAAAAGUGUGUAUUAUUUUCUUAGUUCUUCAUUUUCCGGUAGUUGUCAGCUUUCAGGGGACUCCCGUAAGGGAAACCUCACUUCUUCCUUAAGACAUUUUUGGAGCUGCAAGAGUGACACAUCAAAUCGAUUGCAUGAGGAAUAACGUGAAAGAUGCAGAUUUUGAAGCGUAGCAUCUAGGAGGAAAUUACAUCUUUAUUAUUUAUUAAUGAUUGUAUUAACUUCAAAAUACUGCGUUUGAGCAUAUCAAACUGGAAAGUAAGGCUUUGCAGCUUAAACUGGAGAAUUACUUCAAGGUGAAGAAUCAAGAUCCACCUACUGAGAUUGAGGACCAACCUGACUAUGGAGAUGUAGAUUUUGAUAGUGAGUGAAUGCGACGUCUCUAGUUGGGCAAUGCCAUCAGAAAGCUAUCAGUCAGUGAAGGAAUAAAUGGGAAUUAGAGAAAGCAAAUUUAAUUUUUCUUUUUCAUUGUAUCCCUAGUUGUAGUGUUAAAAAAAUGAAAUUGAUCUGGGUUCUACCUAUGAUCAUGUGACUUUAUAAUCUAUUUUCAUGUUGUUGUUUGAUGAGAAUGCAUGUUUGGAA